RNAcentral lists this long non-coding RNA (8803 nucleotides) under Citrus x clementina. Its description in RNAcentral is "Citrus clementina (C. clementina) long non-coding RNA (CCLE_LNC000443)". The record is from RNAcentral. Lineage: Eukaryota; Viridiplantae; Streptophyta; Magnoliopsida; Sapindales; Rutaceae.
AUUUUUUUAUAAAACCUUUUAAGGACCGCUCUCAUAUAAUAUAUAGGAAUUUGUAAUCUAGAAAUCGUACCUUGAAAAUCCGAGUUGGCUUUUUCCGCUGAAGUGAUUUAGGCUCCUAGAUCACGAUCUGCCACCACCACUCCUGUUAGAUCACGAUUCGUCACCACCACGCUUGUUAGAUCACGAACUGUCACCAAUGAUCUUCUAGGUUAUGACUCAAGUUCGAUCUGCACUUGACGUGUGUGCGCCUUUAUCACUACCAAAGCAACUAGCACGAGAAAAUUUUUCUCUCAACAAUAGAGAGAAAAAUCUUUUUCUCUGAUCUGUAUAAAGUGGCUUCCCAUUUUUUUCUUUAGAGAAAAUAAGCCUUUUAUAUCUCCCUUUAAUGAAAACCCUAGGCUCCAAAUAAUAAAAAAACCAAACUCACGUUACUUGCUUUUUCUAUAGGGGACCCACUAUGUAAAAUAUCAUAAGACCCCUUACACAUAGCUAAUUAAAUGGAGCCUCCCACUAAAUGAUAUAAUUAGGCUUUUGACCCAAAUAGCUAGUUAUCUUGUUUAUUAAUCCAGUAAUGGUGCAAUCAAUUAAAUGAGCUAAACCGAGGAUCAUUUGGGAACAUACAAUAGUGGCUACAAUAAUUAGGCCCGUAAUUAAACUAGCCCAAUUAUUUAAUUCCAAAUCUACUCCACUAAAAGAUUGGAACUGACUUCCAUAAUUGUAUGCUCGAAUAAUAAUUCGUCUCAAGCCACAUUGAUUUCUUUACUGCACAUUCCUUUGUACCACAUCAUUAAUUAAAUCGAUAUCUCAACUGUCCAAUCAAUUUAAUUGCAUCUUGUUCCUUGAUACUUACUGGUUUUCUCUAAUGAUCAUUUUCAACAUACUAAAUAUGUUGACACACUCUGGCCAGAGAAUUCUAUGAUCAAGUGCCGAAAACCCAUCAAGAGGUGUGUUGUACAAAUUCUAUAUUGUUAAUCCAUAACUCCAAUACUUAUAAUUGCUCCCACCAAGAUACCGGGUAAUAUUGACCAUAAGUAUGUGUCGUGCCCAUUGGUAACUCAAAUGGAAUAACAAUUACAAUCAUGAAAUCAUAACUAACUCAAGAUUAAGAUUAUAGUAAAAUCAAUGCCUAUGAGAUUUAAUAAGUCUGACAGUCAUUUCAAGGUUAAUUAAAUCUCAUAUGUAAUCAUGUUCAAUGUAGUCGUACUACAUCAAUAAAUUCAUACAUGAUUAAGACAAAUCAUUCAAUGAAUUUAUUACAGUCUAUACCUAAAUAAAGUGUCCAACUUUAUUUAUCAACUGCGAACUAAAUUUAUUUAAUCAUAAGAUAACUUGUAUUUAUGUCUUCUGUGAAUCCACAUGGUGAUCACAUAAAUACAUAUAAUAUGAUUAAAUGGACUUUAAUAAAAAUAUUAAUGCAAUUAAGAUAUUUGAAUAAAAUACCUCAUUAAUUUUAUUAAUCAGAAAAAAUGUUUAUUAUAAUUAAAUAAACACAUAUGCUUUUAAAGAGCAUAUUUUCCCAACAAUCUCCCACUAGCUCUCAAAGCAUAUUUGGCAUCUCACGCAUGCCCAUGGAUUCUAAGUGCAAGUUAAAAGAUUUCCCAGGUAUGGCCUUAGUAAAAGGAUCUGCCAAGUUUUGCUAUGACGCAAUCUGAGUAACCUCCACAUCACCUCUCUGCACUAUAUCCCUUAUAAGAUGAUACUUCCUCUCAAUAUGUUUUUGUUUCUUGUGGUUCCUUGGUUCCUUAGAUUGAGCUACCGCACCACUAUUAUCGCAAAAUAGUUUAAGGGGUAUAGUUACAGUAGGUACCACCUCAAGAUCUUGUAGGAACUUGCGGAGCCAUACAGCUUCUUUUGCAGCUUCGGAUGCAGUCACAUAUUCAGCUUCAAUUGUGGAGUCUGCGAUACAAGAUUGUUUCACACUCCUCCAACUAAUAGCUCCACUUCCUAAUGUAAACACAUAGCCGGAAGUUGAUUUUCUGGAAUCCUUAUCUGACAUAAAGUCAGAAUCAGUAUAACCCACUAGAAUGAGUUCAUCACCAGAAUACACAAGCAUAUAAUUUUUAGUUCUUUUCAGAUACUUCAUUAUAUGCUUGACCGCAGUCCAGUGUUCAGGUCCAGGAUUAGAUUGAUAUCUACUAACCAUCCCUACCGCAAAACAGAUGUCUGGCCUAGUGCAAAGCAUGGCAUACAUGAGACUUCCCACAGCUUCUGCAUAGGGAACUCGUCUCAUUCUCUCUAUCUCUUCAGAUGUUUUAGGUGAUUGAUCCUUUAGAGAAUGUAAUUCCAUGUCGGAAUGGUAAUAAACCAAUCUUGGAAUUUUCCAUGGUAAAUCUAGUCAAUAUCAUAUCGAUACAGACCGCUUGAGACAAUGCUAAAGUUUUAUUCUUCCGGUCUCGUAGUAACUUGAUACCAAGAAUAUAACUUGCCUCUCUCAGGUCUUUCAUAUCAAAUUAUUUUACUAACCAACUCUUUAUUGUAGUCAAUACCCCUCUAUCGUUUCCUAUUAGGAGAAUAUCGUCUACAUAAAGAAUUAGGAAGGCUACAAAUUUUUCUUGAAUUUUCUUGUACACACAUGGUUCAUCAAUGUUCUGAAUGAAUCCAAACGAUUUAAUCGCUUGAUCAAAUCUGAUGCUCCAUGAUCGGGAUGCUUGCUUCAAUCCAUAAAUGGAUCUCUGCAACUUACAUACCAUGUGUUCUUGGUCUUUUUGUAUAAAUCCAUCUGGUUGCUGCAUGUAGAUGUUUUCUUUAAGAUGCCUAUUAAGAAAGGCAAUCUUGACAUCCAUUUGCCAAAUUUCAUAAUCUAGCACUGCAGCAAUGGAGAGCAGAAUCCUGAUGGAUUUAAGCAUAGCAACCGGAGAAAAGGUUUCCUCAUAAUCGAUUCCCUCUUUAUGAGUAAACCAUUUGGCUACUAAUCUUGCUUUAAAUGUUUCCACCCUUCCGUCUACUCCUCUUUUUCUCUUGUAGAUCCACUUGCACCCUAUAGAUUUUACCCCAUUUGGUGCCUCUACAAGCUCCCAGACUUUAUUAGAAUACAUAGAUUCCAUUUCUUGAUUCAUGGUCUUUUUCCAAAAUUCAACAUCUCUAUCUAUUAGAGCUUCGUUGUAACUAGUGGGAUCUUGUACAUGUUCAUCUGAGAUAGCCGUAUAGGUUUCUCCUAAAAGCAUGUAUCUCGCAGGUAACCUAGUUACCCUCCCACUACAACGAGAUUCUAAAAGUGAUGGUUGUUCAGGGUUAAUCCUGUGUUGAUCAUCUGGUUGUUGCUGUUCUUCCUGUUCUGUAACAGGCGUUGAAAGCUGAGCAUCAACCUGAUCACCUGACAGUUUUUUAAGUAUUACCUUACUCUUAGGUUUGAAGUUAUUCAUAUAGUCUUCCUCGAGGGAAGUGAAAUGUGUGCUCACAAUCACUUUCCUAUCUUGAGGACUAUAAAAUAAACCUCCCCUUACUCCUUUGGGAUACCCCACAAACAUACAAACCUUAAAACGUGAAUCCAUUUUGUCUGCCUUUGGUUUCAGCACAUGUGCUAGUGAUCCCCAAAUACGGACAUGUCAUAAACUUGGUUUGCGACCUGACCAUAAUUCUAUUGGGGUUUUAGGCACUGACUUAGAUGGAACUAAGUUCAAGAGGUAAACUGCAGUUUUCAGUGCUAGUCCCCAAAAAGAUAUUGGUAAUGACGAAUAACUAAGCAUAGAUCUCACCAUAUCCAAAAGAGUUCUAUUUCUUCUUUCAGCUACCCCAUUUUGUUGUGGUGUUCUCGGGGUAGUCAACUGAGAUAUAAUCCCAUUUUCAACCAGAUACUCUUUGAAAUCUCCUGAGAGAAAUUCACCACCUCGAUCAGAUCGAAGUUUCUUUAUGUUCUUAUCUAAUUGCUUUUCUGUCUCAGCCCUAUACUCUUUGAAUUUCUCAAGAGCUUCAGACUUGUGACGCAUCAGAUAAACAUAACCGUAUCUCGAGUAAUCAUCAAUGAAAGUAAUGAAAUACUCAUAACCUCCUCGAGCUUGUACAUUGAUUGGUCCACAUACAUCUGUAUGCACCAAUUCAAGUUGUAUUGUUGCACGUACUCCUUUGGCCGAGAAUGGCUUUUUGGUCAUUUUCCCUUCUAAACAGGAUUCACAGAGUGGCAAUGAUUCAUUUUCUAAUGGACCCAAGAGCCCAUCUUUGAUCAUUCUCUGUAUCCUAUUUUGGUUUAUAUGACCCAAGCGUAAAUGCCAGAGGUAACAUUAGUUGGAAGAAAUAUUUCUUUUUUUAGAUAAAUGUAUAUGCUCAUCAUUAUUGAUCACUAUGUCAUGCAUAGAAUGGAUCAUUGGACUUAAAUGAUAUAAAUUAUCUUCCAAUGUACCAGAACAAAUAAGUCUCUUAUUAUGAAAAAUAGAAACAGAGGAUCCAAAUUUUACAGUGUACCCUUACUUUGACAAAUAAGCUACUGAAAUUAAAUUCCUCUUAAUGUCUGGAACAUAAAGACAAUUAUUCAAAACUAAAGUCUCAUUAUUAAAAGAUAAUAAAACAGAUCCAGUCUUCACUGCUGACACGAACUGUCCUAUCCCUAACUGCAGCUUGACGCUUCCUUUACUUAUUUUCCUGGUUUCCUGAAACCAAUAAAGUGAAUUACAAAUAUGAUUAGUUGCUCCUGAAUCCAACACCCAAGUGUCAAUAGGAUUCUGAACUAAAUAGGCCUCAAUUACAAAAAGAUUUCUCAUACCUGAUUUCAUAAUCUUAGGGCAAUCCUUUUUCCAGUGACCUUUCUGUCCACACUUAAAGCAUUUGCCUUUCGGCUUGCCAUCUUGCUUGGUAGACAGUUUCUUUUUCCCAGCUUUCUUCUUACCUUUGCCUUUUGGCUUAGGCCCAGAAGAUGAACUUUUUACAGUAAUAUUUAUGCUUCCCAGAGAUUUCUCAGCACGAUAGAUCUCUUCAGCAGAAUGGAGUUCGUUCAUCAAUUCAGUUAAGGUCAUGUUUCUUUUGUUCACGUUAUAAUUGACCUUAAACUCCUUGAAUGUUUCUGGCAGAGAUUCUAGCACCAUGUCAAUCUUUGAGUUAUCAUCGAUUUGUGCUCCCUGAAUCUUAGCCUCAUUCAAAUAGUCCAUCAUUUUGAGGACAUGAUCACGAACUCUUGUGCCCUUCCUCAUUUUACUGUUCAUAAUUCCUUUCAGCGCUGCUUGUCUCGCAGAGCGAGUACUCUGCCCGAACAUAUGUUGGAGACUAUCCAUUAUUUCAGUGGCAGUCUCCAAGUUCUGAUGUUUAGUCUGCAGAAUAUUAGAAAUCGAGACUAAAAUGUAGCACUUUGCCAUUUCGUUGGCCUUUUGCCAUUUCUCAUAAAGCCUCCUCUGAUUUCUAUGAGCAUCAUCCGCUGGAACUGGAGGGCAUGGCUGGGUUAAGACAUAUUUAUAAUUUUCAGCAGUCAGGACAAUGAAUAGAUUUCUUUUCCAAUCUAUAUAGUUCUCUCCAGUGAGUUUGUUUUGACUCAGAAUAAUAGUAAGUGGGCUCAGGGAAGACAUUUUCUGAAAAAUAAAACAUCCAUGCAUAAAUAAUUUGAAAUAAUAUUCACAAUAAAUGAUAAAAAUGCAUAAAACCAUAAAUGCAUUUUUAUUUAUUGUAACGAUAAUCUAGUUCCGCUUUGACAAGCUAUCCGGUAGGGAAGUCAUGUCUAUACUUACUAGACCCAAUUACCCAUUGGAUUAUUUACUUUCAUGUAGAGACAUGAUAAAUAAUUAUCGUUAUCCUUUUGGGGCCUAAAUUUGUUAACAGAGCUUCGUUGGGAAGGUUAAUAACAAAUUUUAGUUGAGUGUAUAACCAUUGUUUCAAUCUACGUAUUUUUCAUAUCAAUAGUCACCGUUAGGGUGAACAAUCGAUUGAAAAAUAUUUCAAUUUUAUCUUUGAAGAAGUUCAUGAAAUAAAAUAUCUAAUAUAUAUACUCUCCGAAGGGAGCAUCGCCGUAUCAUGAAAUCGAGGUAUAUAUAUAAUUUUAUUGUUGAACUAACAAUGGAGCCCGUGGAAAAAUUAUCUUGAAUUUUCACUCUCCCACUCAAUAUUUUAAAAUUGGUUUUUCCUUUUUAAAACAUACAUAUUGUUAAUUGUAUGCUUCCUAUAAUAUUAUCCAGAUGAUAUCAAAUAUUAUUAAGCAUACGCAAAUUUCAAACAAUAUAAUGAAAUUCAUUAUUAAUGAAUGACAUGUAUCAUUAUGCAUAGAGUGGCACUACCUAUUCUAUAUGAUAUGUUUUCAUAGCAUGUUAUCAUCCAAAACAUAACAUAUAGAAAAAUACUUAAAUAAUCUUAAUUCAUGGCUUUCCUAAUAAUGAAAAAUACAUUAACCCUAAGCCUAAUCUUCAUUGGGCUUAUUGUCAAUGUCCAUCUUCCAUAAGCUUGUUUUUGUUAAUGGACUAGGGGAAAUUGAGCUUUUAAAUUUAUAAUUGGUCCAAUUUUAAUUUUGAAAGGAAAUAAAUAAAUAAUUAAAUUUUUUUAUUAAAAUAAAAUUUUUGGACCAAAAUUAAAUUUAAUGUAUUUAAUUUUGUCUAUGCAUUUUAAUCCAUUAAGCCCAAUUGAAAUUGGGCCUAAAAUUAGGAUUCAUUAAACCCAAAACUGUUUUUGGAUUUUUAUAAAACCUUUUAAGGACCGCUCUCAUAUAAUAUAUAAGAAUUUGUAAUCUAGAAAUCGUACCUUGAAAAUCCGAGUUGGCUUUUUCCGCUAAAGUAAUUUAGGCUCCUAGAUCAUGAUCCGCCAUCACCACUCCUGUUAGAUCACGAUCCGCCAUCACCUCUCCUGUUAGAUCACGAUCCGCCACCACCACUCCUGUUAGAUCACGAUCCGCCACCACCACUCCUGUUAGAUCACGAUCCGUCACCACCACUCCUGUUAGAUCACGAUCCGUCACCACCACGCUUGUUAGAUCACGAACUGUCACCAAUGAUCUUCCAGGUUAUGACUCAAGUUCGAUCUGCACUUGACGUGUGGGCGCCUUUAUCACUACCAAAGCAACUAGCACGAGAAAAUUUUUCUCUCAACAAUAGAGAGAAAAAUCUUUUUCUCUGAUCUGUAUAAAGUGGCUUCCCAUUUUUUUCUUUAGAGAAAAUAAGCCUUUUAUAUCUCCCUUUAGUGAAAACACUAGGCUCCAAAUAAUUAAAAAACCAAACUCACGUUACUUGCUUUUUCUAUAGGGGACCCACCAUGUAAAAUAACAUAAGACCCCUUACACAUAAGCUAAUUAAAUGGAGCCUCCCACUAAAUGAUAUAAUUAGGCUUUUGACCCAAAUAGCUAGUUAUCUUACUUAUUAAUCCAGUAGUGGUGCAGUCAAUUAAAUGAGCUAACCCGGGGAUCAUUUGGGAAUAUACAAUACUGGCUACAAUAAUUAGGCCUGUAAUUAAACUAGCCCAAUUAUUUAAUUCCAAAUCUACUCCACUAAAAGAUUGGAACUAACUUCCAUAAUUGUAUGCUAGAAUAAUAAUUCGUCCCAAACCACAUUGAUUUCUUUACUGCACAUUCCUUUGUACCACAUCAUUAAUUAAAUCGAUAUCUCAACUGUUCAAUUAAUUUAAUUACAUCUUGUUCCUUGAUACUUACUGGUUUUCUCUAAUGAUCAUUUUCAACAUACUAAAUAUGUUGACACACUCUGGCCAGAGAAUUCUAUGAUCAAAUGCCGAAAACCCAUCAAGAUUAAGAUUACAUAACUCCAAUACUCAUAAUUACUCCCACCAAUAUACCGGGUAAUCUUGACCAUAAGUAUGUGUCGUGCUCAUUGGUAACUCAAAUGGAAUAACAAUUACAAUCAUGAAAUCAUAACUAACUCAAGAUUAAGAUUACAGUAAAAUCAAUGCCUAUGAGAUUCAAUAAGUCUGACAGUCAUUUCAAGGUUAAUUAAAUCUCAUAUGUAAUCAUGUUCAAUGUAGUCGUACUACAUCAAUAAAUUCAUACAUGAUUAAGACAAAUCAUUCAAUGAAUUUAUUACAGUCUAUACCUAAAUAAAGUGUCCAACUUUAUUUAUCAACUGCGAACUAAAUUUAUUUAAUCAUAAGAUAACUUGUAUUUAUGUCUUCUGUGAAUCCACAUGGCGAUCACAUAAAUACAUAUAAUAUGAUUAAAUAGACUUUAAUAAAAAUAUUAAUGCAAUUAAGAUAUUUGAAUAAAAUACCUAUUAAUUUUAUUAAUCAGAAAAAAUGUUUAUUACAAUUAAAUAAACACAUAUGCUUUUAAAGAGCAUAUUUUCCCAACAUAAAGUUCAUAUUUUCAAACUCAAUUUCAUUAAAGUAAAAUUUAAAAAUCAUGAAAUUAGAAAAUAUACAUAUGUAUAAAAUCCAAAAGUUUUUAAGUUCGAAUUAAUAUAACCCCGCCUGGUGUUAGGCUUUUUAAGUUUGGUCUGGGUCUUCGAUGUAAGAAGCCGAAUUAAGGGCAUAGAGUUUCGUUGUAAACUUAAUUCUUAGCUCAUAGAAUUCUUAGCUCACUCUAUGCCAAAUUAAGGGCAUAGAGUUUCAUUGUAAACUUAAUUCUUAGUUCACGGAAAUAAGGAAAACGAAAUCUAAAGGGCUAUUUAUUUUUUUGACUUAAUGACUUAAUUGACUUAAUUUUAAUCAGUUAAGUCAUUAAGUCUGUUUGUUUUUUCAACUUCAUAAACAUUUUCAGUAAUUAAGUCAUCAAGUUAUUAAGCUAAUUUUUUUAGCUUUUUACUUAAUCUAAAAAAGUUUGGAUGCUAUCAUUAAAAGAUAUUUUCUAAAAUAUCCCUAUUUAAUUAAUUAAUUUUCAUUCUUAGCUAAAUAAAGGUUAAUAAUUAGUAUUAUUGCCCAUCUGUAUAUAACUUGUGAUAAUAUAUAUUGGUAGACU